GAUGAACGCUGGCGGCGUGCCUAACACAUGCAAGUCGAGCGAUUUACUUCGGUAAAGAGCGGCGGACGGGUGAGUAACGCGUGGGUAACCUGCCCUGUACACACGGAUAACAUACCGAAAGGUAUGCUAAUACGAGAUAAUAUACUUUUAUCGCAUGGUAGAAGUAUCAAAGCUCUGGCGGUACAGGAUGGACCCGCGUCUGAUUAGCUAGUUGGUAAGGUAACGGCUUACCAAGGCGACGAUCAGUAGCCGACCUGAGAGGGUGAUCGGCCACAUUGGAACUGCGACACGGUCCAACCUCCUACGGGAGGCAGCAGUGGGGAAUAUUGCACAAUGGGCGAAAGCCUGAUGCAGCAACGCCGCGUGAGCGAUGAAGGCCUUCGGGUCGUAAAGCUCUGUCCUCGAGGAAGAUAAUGACGGUACUUGAGGAGGAAGCCCCGGCUAACUACGUGCCAGCCGCCGCGGUAA
Molecule: ribosomal RNA, 468 nt
Filed under: uncultured bacterium
Lineage: Bacteria
Description: partial 16S ribosomal RNA
Rfam family: Bacterial small subunit ribosomal RNA
Source: RNAcentral